UUAUUUAAUGGCCGCGGUAUUUUGACCGUGCAAAGGUAGCAUAAUCAUUAGUUUAUUAAUUGUGGACUUGUAUGAAUGGUUGGACGAGAUAUUGACUGUCUCAUGUUUAUUUAUUGAAUUUAAUUUUUUAGUCAAAAAGCUUAAAUUUUAUUGUAAGACGAGAAGACCCUAUAGAUCUUUAUUUUUAUUUAUAAUUUAUUUUUUAGUUUCUUUUUUUAAGUUUUUAUUAAAUUUUUUGUUGGGGCGACAUGGAGAUAUAAUUAACUCUUUAUUUUAUAUACAAUUAUUUUUGAUUUUUUGACCUUUUAUUAUUGUUUAAAGAUAUAGAUACCUUAGGGAUAACAGCGUAAUUUUUUUUGAGAGUUCUUAUCAACAAUAAAGAUUGCGACCUCGAUGUUGGAUUAAGAAUAUUUUAAGGUGUAGGUGCUUUAUAAAUUAGGUCUGUUCGACCUUUAAAUUCUUACAUGAUCUGAGUUCA
This 478-nucleotide ribosomal RNA is filed under the name Pseudophasmatidae sp. 2 SB-2021. Its description in RNAcentral is "partial large subunit ribosomal RNA". It matches the Rfam family "Bacterial large subunit ribosomal RNA", at positions 1920 to 2613 of the family's 2925-position model. Lineage: Eukaryota; Metazoa; Arthropoda; Insecta; Phasmatodea; Pseudophasmatidae. The record is from RNAcentral.